AACGCUGGCGGCGUGCUUCAUACAUGCAAGUCGAACGAGAAGUUACCUUCGGGUAAUGGAAAGUGGCGGACGGGUGAGUAAUAUGUAGAGAAUCUGCCCUAGAGAGAGGGACAACAGUUGGAAACGACUGCUAAUACCUCAUAUGCGCGUAGCUGAGAUGCUAUUCGUGAAAACUCCGGUGCUCUGGGAUGAGUCUGCAUCUGAUUAGCUAGUUGGCGGUGUAAUGGACCACCAAGGCGACGAUCAGUAGCUGGUUUGAGAGGAUGAUCAGCCACAAUGGGACUGAGACACGGCCCAUACUCCUACGGGAGGCAGCAGUAGGGAAUUUUGCGCAAUGGGGGAAACCCUGACGCAGCAACGCCGCGUGAUUGAUUAAGCCCUUCGGGGUGUAAAGAUCUGUCAGUAGGGACGAAACUUGACGGUACCUACAGAGGAAGCAUCGGCUAACUCCGUGCCAGCCGCUGC
RNAcentral lists this ribosomal RNA (465 nucleotides) under uncultured bacterium. Its description in RNAcentral is "bacterial SSU rRNA". It matches the Rfam family "Bacterial small subunit ribosomal RNA", at positions 32 to 518 of the family's 1533-position model. The record is from RNAcentral.